AUUGAACGCUGGCGGCAGGCCUAACACAUGCCAGUCGAACGGUAACAGGAAACAGCUUGCUGUUUCGCUGACGAGUGGCGGACGGGUGAGUAAUGUCUGGGAAACUGCCUGAUGGAGGGGGAUAACUACUGGAAACGGUAGCUACUACCGCAUAACGUCGCAAGACCAAAGAGGGGGACCUUCGGGCCUCUUGCCAUCGGAUGUGCCCAGAUGGGAUUAGCUAGUAGGUGGGGUAACGGCUCACCUAGGCGACGAUCCCUAGCUGGUCUGAGAGGAUGACCAGCCACACUGGAACUGAGACACGGUCCAGACUCCUACGGGAGGCAGCAGUGGGGAAUAUUGCACAAUGGGCGCAAGCCUGAUGCAGCCAUGCCGCGUGUAUGAAGAAGGCCUUCGGGUUGUAAAGUACUUUCAGCGGGGAUGAAGGGAGUAAAGUUAAUACCUUUGCUCAUUGACGUUACCCGCAGAAGAAGCACCGGCUAACUCCGUG
Molecule: ribosomal RNA, 490 nt
Filed under: uncultured bacterium
Lineage: Bacteria
Description: partial 16S ribosomal RNA
Rfam family: Bacterial small subunit ribosomal RNA
Source: RNAcentral